RNAcentral lists this transfer RNA (67 nucleotides) under Marmota monax (woodchuck). Its description in RNAcentral is "tRNA.Ala". Lineage: Eukaryota; Metazoa; Chordata; Mammalia; Rodentia; Sciuridae. The record is from RNAcentral.
GGUCAUGGCUCAGCGGUAGAGCGCUUGCCUUGCACAUGCAAGGCCAUGGGUUCAAUCCUCAGCACCA